Solanum verrucosum is the source of this 775-nucleotide long non-coding RNA. RefSeq lists it as uncharacterized. Lineage: Eukaryota; Viridiplantae; Streptophyta; Magnoliopsida; Solanales; Solanaceae. The record is from RefSeq and is a predicted model, not a curated record. The transcript is spliced from 2 exons.
GUCAAACCAUUGGAAGUUUACCUUGUACCCUUCUGGAGAUCACUUAAAGAAAACUUCAACAAUAUGGGGUUAUAUAAGCAUGAGUUUAAAAGGCAUGGAAUAUGGGCACAAACAGGUGUAAAAGAAUACUUCAAAACAGCAAUAAGGAUCAACAACAUCUCUUUUGUAGAGAUGAACUUGUACAAUUACUUGGAAACAAGUAAUAUUAUUACCUUUGAUACCUCGGGUUAUAUUGAAAAUGAUAUUGUUGAUGCUAUUCAAAAGUAUUUGCCUCGCCUACUCCUCUAUCGCCAGCACCUGCACCACCACAUGACCCCUCUCUCUCACCGGCCCCUACGCCAUCACAUGACCCCUUCAAUAUUUACCUCUCUUGUAGUUUGAUUAACACAAAACUUUACUUGAAUGAGGUUACUUUUUGCACUUAUCCCAAUGGGACUAAAUUUAUUUCAUGCCCUCAUCAAAUACCUGAUCCUCUAAGACGCUGCGAUGGAGCUAAUAUUAUGCUACCUCUUGCAAGAGCUCAAUCGCCGAUUCCACCAUCACCAUCACCACCACCUCCGAAUAAAUUUCAGGAAGAAGAAUAUGGGACAUAUCCAAUAUUUGAACGUUCAUGGGCUAAAUAUAUAUUCAACGGUUGGAUUUAAUGUAUCAAUUUUCUAAAAAUAAAUAAGAAAAGAGAAUGGAAUAUGCUGUAUCUGAUGACGUGUAAGCAUAUAUAAUGGGCACCCACUAAGUAAAAUUAUAAUUUAUUACCUUGAAUAAAAGUUUUAUUCUA